Molecule: ribosomal RNA, 659 nt
Filed under: uncultured bacterium
Lineage: Bacteria
Description: bacterial SSU rRNA
Rfam family: Bacterial small subunit ribosomal RNA
Source: RNAcentral
AGGGUUUGAUCAUGGCUCAGGACGAACGCUGGCGGCAUGCCUAACACAUGCAAGUCGAACGAGAAAGUUCCUUCGGGAGCAAUUAAAGUGGCGCACGGGUGAGUAACGCGUAGACAAUCUGCCCUUCAGUCUGGGACAACUUUUCGAAAGGAGAGCUAAUACCGGAUAACAAUGCAUGACACAAGUUGUAUAUUUGAAAGCUUUAUGUGCUGAAGGAGGGGUCUGCGUCCCAUUAGCUAGUUGGUAAGGUAAAGGCUUACCAAGGCAACGAUGGGUAGCGGGUUUGAGAGGACGAUCCGCCACACUGGAACUGAGACACGGUCCAGACUCCUACGGGAGGCAGCAGUGGGGAAUAUUGCACAAUGGAGGAAACUCUGAUGCAGCAAUGUCGCGUGAGUGAAGAAGGCCCUUGGGUCGUAAAGCUCUUUUAUGGGGGAAGAUGAUGACGGUACCCCAAGAAUAAGCACCGGCUAACUAUGUGCCAGCAGCCGCGGUAAUACAUAGGGUGCGAGCGUUGUUCGGAAUUACUGGGCGUAAAGGGCGCGCAGGCGGAAUAGUAAGUCGGAGGUGAAAGCCCGGGGCUCAACCCCGGAGGGUCUUUCGAAACUACUAAUCUAGAGAGGGUCAGGGGCCGGCAGAAUUCCUGGUGUAGAGGUGAA